GGUGAGGGGUCCGAGUGGCUGAAGGAGCACGCCUGGAAAGUAUGUAAACGGCAACGUAUCGGGGGUUCGAAUCCCCCCCUCACCGCAA
RNAcentral lists this transfer RNA (88 nucleotides) under Escherichia coli. RNAcentral's name for it is "tRNA-Ser". It matches the Rfam family "tRNA". From Rfam's summary of the family: Transfer RNA (tRNA) molecules are approximately 80 nucleotides in length. Their secondary structure includes four short double-helical elements and three loops (D, anti-codon, and T loops). The record is from RNAcentral. Lineage: Bacteria; Pseudomonadati; Pseudomonadota; Gammaproteobacteria; Enterobacterales; Enterobacteriaceae.